Dreissena polymorpha is the source of this 618-nucleotide long non-coding RNA. RefSeq lists it as uncharacterized. The transcript has 2 exons. The record is from RefSeq and is a predicted model, not a curated record. Lineage: Eukaryota; Metazoa; Mollusca; Bivalvia; Myida; Dreissenidae.
UGUUGUUUGUUUUUUCCCCAAACAUUUCGUCUGUGAAAAAAAGCAACAACAAGCAUACGUUUUUGUUUACAUUUGUCACUCUUAUUACACAAUACGCCGGUAUAUAAUGCGCGUCGAAAAGGAACAACACAGGAGCAUUAUAACAACAAUUUACAGAGAAGAUAAGUUGCUAAGAAGUCGCAUCAAGCUACACUAUGAAUCUGCAAAUUGUAUCGUAUAUAGCGAUAGCAUGGAUAACAUUUACUUGCAUGCAGUCGGCGACCGCUGACUGCGACUUGACCAACUCGAGCUCGUGCCCGGUAGGCACGUGCUGUGUGCACGAUUUAUUGUUCUCGAGUACCACGUGCCGCCCUCUGGGUCAGGAUGGUGCUUCGUGUACGAUAAGGCCCACUUCGCUAGAGUGCGCAUGCGCCGAUGGUCUAGUCUGUUUGACCAACAUUCACGGAGGCCACAUCUCUUCCGUUUACGGGCAUUGUGUACGAAAAUACGACUCGCCGAUUGCUGGAUAGUUAAAUGAACAUUACGUGUUAUAUUUCCACGUUUCAAGACAAUGUAUCAUAUGGACGUGUGUGUAUGUUUGUUGCUACUCAAAAUGCUUACAUAAAUUCACAUGUUUUA